UCGGGAAUUUUGGGCAAUGGGCGAAAGCCUGACCCAGCAACGCCGCGUGAGGGAUGAAGUAUUUCGGUAUGUAAACCUCGAAAGAAUGGGAAGAAUAAAUGACGGUACCAUUUAUAAGCCCCGGCUAACUACGUGCCAGCAGCCGCGGUAAUACGUAGGGAGCAAGCGUUGUUCGGAUUUACUGGGCGUAAAGGGCGCGUAGGCGGCGCGGUAAGUCACUUGUGAAAUCUCUGAGCUUAACUCAGAACGGCCAAGUGAUACUGCUGUGCUAGAGUGCGGAAGAGGCAACCGGAAUUCUUGGUGUAGCGGUGAAAUGCGUAGAUAUCAAGAGGAACACCUGAGGCGAAGGCGGGUUGCUGGGCCGACACUGACGCUGAUGCGCGAAAGCCAGGGGAGCAAACG
RNAcentral lists this ribosomal RNA (402 nucleotides) under uncultured bacterium. Its description in RNAcentral is "bacterial SSU rRNA". It matches the Rfam family "Bacterial small subunit ribosomal RNA", at positions 355 to 774 of the family's 1533-position model. The record is from RNAcentral.